GAAGCAACUUAAUACUCUGUAACCUUCAUAUUAUUUCUUAAAUAAUAAUUUAUACAUGUAUUUCACUUGUAAUUUUGUUUUUUAUUGGGAUUUUUUUUUGGCAAUCAGUAAACGAAUUCUUCGUCUACAAAUAUUUGUUUUCCCUCAAAUUUUUUUAUUUAUCAAAGGAAUUACAUCCAUUCAAGUAAGAGCAAAUUUCCCUCAAUAUUUAUUCCUAUAUAUUAAUUUAUCGUCAAUUAUGUGCUUUAAUUAUGUUGCUGGAAUUUCUGAAUUUCUCAUUUCCAUAUAUUUUCUAUGAAGAGUAGUUAACUUCAAUGGCUGUUCAAAAUGAUGGGCAUGAAUGGUAAUUCAGCAAUAAUACCAAAUCCUCCUUCUGAAAACGUUGGUAUUUGGAGCGUAUUCUAAAAUGGAGGUUUAGGCAAAAUCCGCUCACACAAAUCUCUGUUUACCAAACACCCCAAUUAGUGGAUUGGCCAGUCAAACCUCUAAAUUUACCAUCAAUCCACUAAAAGCUGGUGUAUCCGCUUGUUACCAAACGCAGCCAAAAUCUAUUUACUACUCCGUGUAGGUUAGAAGAGACACUGGAAUAACACGUGUCAGUUCCUAUAUCGUGUCAAUUCCUCUUGCGUUUUUUCCGUCAAAAACCACUUUCCCAUAAAAUUUAUCUGUUUUAUUUUAUUUUUAUUCUCUACCUUUUUUUUAUAAACUACUCCUUAUUAUUUAUGUAUGAAAACAAAUUUUAUUUUAUAAAUUAUGGCAAUAAUAUAUAUAACAUAAUAAUAAUCAUUCUAAAUUGGUAAUAUUUUAGUCAAAUCUCUAUAUUAAUAAAUGAAAAAUAUAUCCCUCUAUAUUUUUGUCAAAUCUCUAUAUUUUAGUCAUAUUAGCAUUUUAAAUAUGCAUAUUAGAUGAAUAAAUUUAAACGAAUAUGUUAGAAAUGUUAUAACUAUGCAGUAGUUUGGGAGAAGUUCAAUUAAAUAUUUUGUGAAAAAAAAUAUCAAAAUCCGUGCGUGCACGGGAUCUAAUAUAGUAAUAAUAAAAGAAAAAGUUGUUUGGCUUUGGUAAUUGUCAAAUCAUAUAAAUAUAGUCGUAUUGAUCUUAUUAGAUUCGUCUCGAUACAUAUUUUUUAAAUAUCAACUUUUUACAAUUUUUUCUUAUCCAUAAUAGAAAAUAUUAAUGUUUGAAAUCGUGUAUUGACAAACGUGCCUAAAUAAUUAUCACUUUUAAAAAAGAACCGAGAAAGUAUGUUUUAUAUAUUCAUGUGAAGAGCAAGAGCGUUAUGACGGACGUAACGGUAGAGACCGUGACGCACGGCGAUGCGCGCGAGUUUUUCAGUGCUGAUGUUAGCCGCACGGAGGAGGGAGAGAAUUCCUUGAUCAACACUUGGAUACGCCAAGUACACGAAGUUCACGAACGCCAACCCUACCACCGCGUCGCCCACGAACUCCAGUCAUUGGUAAGACUUUGACUCGGUGCAUUACGAGUGAGUCAGGGCUUCUUCUAGAAGCGUCUUGUCCCUGAAUCUGUAGUUUAGUAUUCGUUCCACCGCCGUAACGCAGCCUCCAUAUCGUUUAUUGCCGGAGUGUGGUGGCGGGUAAUGGUGGUGUUCAUGUGAAAAUGCCUCUCACAAAUUUCCUAAUCAGGAAAAAAAAAAUAAAGAAUAUUUAGAGUUGUUAGAUCACGAUCAAAAGAUAAUAACAUACUACCAAUAGCUAUUUGAUUGAUCAAAAGAUAAGAACUUUUUUUGUUAGGAAAAAUACCAAUAGCUAUUUGAUUGAUCCAAUGGACCAGUUUUAUGAAUUACUCACCCCCUGGUACAUUUUGUCUAAUUCAACUCGAAAUUCUUAGCCACCCUCAUUCCACCGUGUGAUACUACUGAGGAUCACAUUUUUUCGGUGUUUGGAGGGAAAAAGCUCAGCAUAAAACCGAGUAUAAGGGCAAUAGUAAUAAGAGGUUUGUCAUGAAGUUUGUGUUGAAUUUUAGAGGUUUAUAGACCAAAAAAAGAAUGUAUAGAUCCUAAAGGUUGAAAAAUGUGAAGGGUCCUAAAGGUUGAAAAAUGUGAAAGCUGCAGUUUAUAAAUUUGGCAAGAGAGAAACAAUGCUUUGUGGAAUGCAAGAGUCUCCUCUGUGCAGAAAAGUUGUAAUGAUAUUAAGCAUGAUGUAAUAGGUAGAAUUAAGAGUAUUGUAGGGGAAAAAGUUAGUCAAAACGAUAGUUGGUUGGCUUUGUGCUUUUUAACAGGUGUAUUCUGGUGUGGUUCUUGUUGUUGUAAGGUUGUUGCUUUAGUCUGUUUUGGUCUUUUGAGUUAGAGGGGAGCCUUCGUAGAAGGGUUGCCUCUUCUCUUGUAGUCCUUAGGUUGUAUGAAGUGUUCAUGUCUUUUUCAAAAUAUCAUUACUUUCUUACCAAAAGAAAAAAACAAAAAUGUAUAUGUAUGGAAAAUUAGCUCAUUUGUAAAGUUAUCUCAAACAUGUGAAUUUGAAAUGUCUACUGUCAUUUUUAAAGCAUAAGAAAAA
This is a long non-coding RNA of Spinacia oleracea (spinach), 2507 nucleotides long. RefSeq lists it as uncharacterized. Lineage: Eukaryota; Viridiplantae; Streptophyta; Magnoliopsida; Caryophyllales; Amaranthaceae. The transcript has 2 exons. The record is from RefSeq and is a predicted model, not a curated record.